UACGUAGGGUGCAAGCGUUGUCCGGAAUUAUUGGGCGUAAAGAGCUCGUAGGCGGUCUGUCGCGUCGGCUGUGAAAUCCCGAGGCUCAACCUCGGGUCUGCAGUCGAUACGGGCAAACUGGAGUGUUGCAGGGGAGACUGGAAUUCCUGGUGUAGCGGUGAAAUGCGCAGAUAUCAGGAAGAACACCAAUGGCGAAAGCAGCUCUCUGGGACGGUACUGACGCUGAGACGCGAAAGCGUGGGGAGCGAACAGG
This 253-nucleotide ribosomal RNA is filed under the name uncultured bacterium. RNAcentral's name for it is "partial 16S ribosomal RNA". It matches the Rfam family "Bacterial small subunit ribosomal RNA", at positions 524 to 776 of the family's 1533-position model. The record is from RNAcentral.